CCAAAAACAUAGCCUUAUUAACAUCAAUAUAAGAUGAAACCUGCUCAAUGGCUACGAAUAAAAAAUAACAGUAGUUAAAUAGCCGCGGUAACUCUGACCGUGAUAAAGUAGCAUAAUCACUCGUCAUUUAAUUGGUGACUGGAAUGAACGGUUACACGAAUCUCUAACUGUCUCAAUAGUAACAUUUAUGAAAUUGAAUUGAUAGUGAAGAUACUAUCUACUAAUUGUAAGACGAAAAGACCCUAUCGAGCUUUA
RNAcentral lists this ribosomal RNA (255 nucleotides) under Thysanostoma flagellatum. RNAcentral describes it as "partial 16S ribosomal RNA". It matches the Rfam family "Bacterial large subunit ribosomal RNA", at positions 1807 to 2103 of the family's 2925-position model. The record is from RNAcentral. Lineage: Eukaryota; Metazoa; Cnidaria; Scyphozoa; Rhizostomeae; Thysanostomatidae.